Molecule: non-coding RNA, 21 nt
Organism: Caenorhabditis elegans
Lineage: Eukaryota; Metazoa; Nematoda; Chromadorea; Rhabditida; Rhabditidae
Source: Ensembl
UUAUUUCUCGUACUCAAAAGU